UACGUAGGUGGCAAGCGUUGUCCGGAUUUACUGGGCGUAAAGCGCGCGUAGGCGGCUAAUUAAGUCAAAUGUGAAAUCCCCGAGCUUAACUUGGGAAUUGCAUUCGAUACUGGUUAGCUAGAGUGUGGGAGAGGAUGGUAGAAUUCCAGGUGUAGCGGUGAAAUGCGUAGAGAUCUGGAGGAAUACCGAUGGCGAAGGCAGCCAUCUGGCCUAACACUGACGCUGAGGUGCGAAAGCAUGGGGAGCAAACAGG
This 253-nucleotide ribosomal RNA is filed under the name uncultured bacterium. RNAcentral's name for it is "partial 16S ribosomal RNA". It matches the Rfam family "Bacterial small subunit ribosomal RNA", at positions 524 to 776 of the family's 1533-position model. The record is from RNAcentral.